GAGGGUAUACCUCAGUGGUAGAGCACAUGCUUAGCAUUCCUGAGGUCCUGGGUUCAAUCCCCAGUACCUCCA
Transfer RNA from Camelus ferus (Wild Bactrian camel), 72 nucleotides. It matches the Rfam family "tRNA". Rfam says of the family: Transfer RNA (tRNA) molecules are approximately 80 nucleotides in length. Their secondary structure includes four short double-helical elements and three loops (D, anti-codon, and T loops). Further hydrogen bonds mediate the characteristic L-shaped molecular structure. tRNAs have two regions of fundamental functional importance: the anti-codon, which is responsible for specific mRNA codon recognition, and the 3' end, to which the tRNAs corresponding amino acid is attached (by aminoacyl-tRNA synthetases). tRNAs cope with the degeneracy of the genetic code in two manners: having more than one tRNA (with a specific anti-codon) for a particular amino acid; and 'wobble' base-pairing, i.e. permitting non-standard base-pairing at the 3rd anti-codon position. Lineage: Eukaryota; Metazoa; Chordata; Mammalia; Artiodactyla; Camelidae. The record is from Rfam.